UUGACCUCGGAUCAGGUAGGGAUACCCGCUGAACUUAAGCAUAUCAAUAAGCGGAGGAAAAGAAACCAACCGGGAUUGCCUCAGUAACGGCGAGUGAAGCGGCAAGAGCUCAAAUUUGAAAGCUGGCUCCUUCGGGGUCCGCAUUGUAAUUUGCAGAGGAUGCUUCGGGUGCGGCCCCUGUCUAAGUACCCUGGAACGGGUCGUCAGAGAGGGUGAGAAUCCCGUCUGGGAUAGGGUGUCCGCGCCCGUGUGAAGCUCCUUCGACGAGUCGAGUUGUUUGGGAAUGCAGCUCUAAAUGGGUGGUAAAUUUCAUCUAAAGCUAAAUACUGGCCGGAGACCGAUAGCGCACAAGUAGAGUGAUCGAAAGAUGAAAAGCACUUUGAAAAGAGAGUUAAAAAGCACGUGAAAUUGUUGAAAGGGAAGCGCUUGCGACCAGACUCGCCCCCGGGGUUCAGCCGGCAUUCGUGCCGGUGUACUUCCCCGGGGGCGGGCCAGCGUCGGUUUGGGCGGCCGGUCAAAGGCCCCUGGAAUGUAGUACCCUCCGGGGUACCUUAUAGCCAGGGGUGCAAUGCGGCCAGCCUGGACCGAGGAACGCGCUUCGGCACGGACGCUGGCAUAAUGGUCGCAAACGACC
Molecule: ribosomal RNA, 634 nt
Filed under: Aspergillus nomiae
Lineage: Eukaryota; Fungi; Ascomycota; Eurotiomycetes; Eurotiales; Aspergillaceae
Description: eukaryotic LSU rRNA
Rfam family: Eukaryotic large subunit ribosomal RNA
Source: RNAcentral